CUUCGAGUGGAAUCUGUUUACCGAAGUAAUUUGAGACUAAUGUCAGGCACCCGUCUUUAGUAUUUUCUUACUUCGAAAAGGAGGUGUAUUUAACUUUAUCCAACUGCUCGUGAAUAUUACAGUUCGUAUCCCUGAAUAUCGUGGAUCAAUAAUACUUAUUCGAGGUACUGGUGCCGGGGAUAAUUAAAACGGGAACAGUGACCUGCCGUCGACCGAAGAUCGUUGCCCGAUAAUCUCGAAUUUCCAUUUAUUUGCAGAGUAAUUAUAAAUGCAGACAGAGUGCAACAUGGAUAAAGGUAAUUCUAUGUACAUAUUUCUUACAUUUAUUGUCGUUCGAACUUAAAUUGUUAAAACAUUAAACCAGGCACUGUAUCCUGUUCGGUGUUGUGGAGGUAUCUUUUUGCUCGAGGUAUCAAGGUACGAAGUUUCGAACUGUCAACUUUUUUACUUGUUUCAAUAAUUUCUUUUAGGUUAGACAGUUCGUAUUCUGGAAUGCUCUACUGUGGACCACGCAAUAAUGUCAAUAAUUAUGACAUUAACCUCAAAUUGUUAAAAUUCUAUCGAAAAAUGGCGGGAAACUUUUAAAAGAGUAAACCAUCAAUAUGCAAACAGCGAUAAACAAAAUGCUAAUUACAAAUGUAGCAAAGUACAAAUGGCAGUGGGAAAAGAGAAGAAAGAACGGCAGAAUUACUGAAAGGCGAAUCGUUUUAAAUAUUGUUCGGAUUAAAGAAUGUUUGAAGAUGUCGAAGAAAAAAUCUUGAAACAUCGGUGCUCGUCGAGCGUCUCAAGACCAACUGAAAUAUGCAGCAGGGAACGCAAGGAAUUAUCGAGCGGCUACUAUAUUUGGAACAUCACUGCCAGCGUGUCAACGUAUGUCGUGAAAAAUCUAAAGGUUUCGAGAGCAUGAAAGGGGACAGACGGAGCAAGCGAAAAACCUUUGUCGCCCUUGUAUCGUCCCGUGCGCCAACUUCCCAGUUGCGCACUGUACACGUAUCUUGCUCGAUGAAUGCGAACAGGGAGAAUUCAGAAACACGAAAUAAUCCCUUGUUUUAUGAAUCCAGCAGAGCGCGCGUACGUAGAUACGUGUAGAGGUACGUGGCCGUCGAAGUUAACGAAGAGCUUGUAGGCGAACAAAAGCCCGUUGUUAUCCGGGAAAGGGUAAUUGUUCGAUCCGGCUAGGCAACAUCAAAUUUCUGUUUGCGAAAAUCUAUAGCCAUUUAGUUGCCGAAUCCAGGCAUUAUCUUCUGUUAAAUAUGAAAUAUAACGGUACACGGAGGGAUGAGACAAUCGCGGUGAAGAAUAACGAAAUGAUUAAUUCCUCUUGAGCGAUUCCUUUCAACCAAUGGCGCUUUACCCAUGGUGCACCGGUGACACGAACACGCGAGAUGGAGGGGGACGAGAUCGGAUGGCAGGUGACGGCCGGAAUCAUUUUUAAGCGAUCUAAUUCUUUCACGUUUUCUUUUCGAGCGAACAAUGAUUUAUCGCGUCGUAAAUUUUUCAAGAGGAUUUCAUACAAAGAGAAGUUGGCGAAUGAGGAAGAAUAGAAGGAAAGAAGGAUAGAGUGGAGAUAAA
This is a long non-coding RNA of Megachile rotundata (alfalfa leafcutting bee), 1572 nucleotides long. The record is from RefSeq and is a predicted model, not a curated record. NCBI's taxonomy places the organism in Eukaryota, Metazoa, Arthropoda, Insecta, Hymenoptera, Megachilidae.